Non-coding RNA from Trichonephila clavipes, 73 nucleotides. NCBI's taxonomy places the organism in Eukaryota, Metazoa, Arthropoda, Arachnida, Araneae, Nephilidae. The record is from the annotation of a GenBank genome assembly.
GUCCCAGUAGAGCAAUGGAUAGCCCGUUGGACUUCUAAUCCAUAGGUCGUGGGCGCAAUUACCCCCUGGGACG